UACGUAGGGUGCGAGCGUUGUCCGGAUUCAUUGGGCGUAAAGAGCGCGCAGGCGGCUUGGUAAGUCGGAUGUGAAAUCCCGAGGCUCAACCUCGGGUCUGCAUCCGAUACUGCCCGGCUAGAGGUAGGUAGGGGAGAUCGGAAUUCCUGGUGUAGCGGUGAAAUGCGCAGAUAUCAGGAAGAACACCCGUGGCGAAGGCGGCUCUCUGGGACGGUACUGACGCUGAGACGCGAAAGCGUGGGGAGCGAACAGG
RNAcentral lists this ribosomal RNA (253 nucleotides) under uncultured bacterium. Its description in RNAcentral is "partial 16S ribosomal RNA". It matches the Rfam family "Bacterial small subunit ribosomal RNA", at positions 524 to 776 of the family's 1533-position model. The record is from RNAcentral.